AAUAUGUAUAAACCCAAACCCAAAAAUCUAUAGCACAUUAAAAAAAAAACCUACGUAGGUUUUUGUUCGACUAUUGUUUGACUACCAAGCCAAUUAAGUGCUAUAAGAUGUGAAGGGGAUUAUGGACGACACCGCCAUAGAUUCCAAAACCAGCAUGCAAAGGGUCAUGAAGUCAAAGUAAAGUAGAAAAAUCAAAACCCAAACCACAAAGGGACAUGGAAGACCCUAUGGGUUGAUAACCCACGUACUACAUUGAACAUUCUACAAAAAUCUACAUGUUAUUGUUUACGACGAGUAUUUAAAUUG
This is a long non-coding RNA of Erigeron canadensis, 306 nucleotides long. RefSeq lists it as uncharacterized. NCBI's taxonomy places the organism in Eukaryota, Viridiplantae, Streptophyta, Magnoliopsida, Asterales, Asteraceae. The transcript is spliced from 3 exons. The record is from RefSeq and is a predicted model, not a curated record.